ANACNUGCAGUUGACGAGAUAAGUUGUAGCAAUACGGCUUUGAAAGUGGCGCACGGGUGCGUAACACGUAUGCAACCUACCUGAUACAGGGGGAUAGCCUCUCGAAAGAGAGAUUAAUACCCCAUAAAAUGGAGAACCGGCAUCGGUAAAUCAUUAAAGCUACGGCGGUAUCAGAUGGGCAUGCGGCUGAUUAGCUAGUUGGUGAGGUAACGGCUCACCAAGGCGACGAUCAGUAGGGGGUCUGAGAGGAUGUCCCCCCACACUGGUACUGAGACACGGACCAGACUCCUACGGGAGGCAGCAGUAGGGAAUAUUGGGCAAUGGUCGGAAGACUGACCCAGCCACGCCGCGUGCAGGAGGAAGGCCCUCUGGGUUGUAAACUGCUUUAGCAGGGGAAGAAAAGACGCAUGCGUGCGGCAUUGACGGUACCCUGAGAAUAAGCACCGGCUAACUACGUGCCAGCAGCCGCGGUAAUACGUAGGGUACGAGCGUUGUCCGGAUUUAUUGGGUUUAAAGGGUGCGUAGGCGGCCGAAUAAGUCAGUGUUAAAAUUUUGCAGCUUAACUGUAGGUAUGGCAUUGAUACUGUUUGGCUUGAAUGUCAUGGAGGUAGCUGGAAUUUAUGGUGUAGCGGUGAAAUGCAUAGAUACCAUAAGGAACACCGAUAGCGGAGGCAUGUUACCACGUGAUGAUUGACGCUGAGGCACGAAAGUGUGGGGAUCAAACAGGAUUAGAUACCCUGNUAGUCCACACUGUAAACGAUGAUUACUAGAUGCUGGCGAGAAUUUGUCAGUGUUCAAGCGAAAGCGAUAAGUAAUCCACCUGGGGGAGUACGANCCGCANNGUUGAAACUCNAGGAAUUGACGGG
Molecule: ribosomal RNA, 866 nt
Filed under: uncultured bacterium
Lineage: Bacteria
Description: bacterial SSU rRNA
Rfam family: Bacterial small subunit ribosomal RNA
Source: RNAcentral